This is a long non-coding RNA of Octopus bimaculoides (California two-spot octopus), 1678 nucleotides long. The record is from RefSeq and is a predicted model, not a curated record. Lineage: Eukaryota; Metazoa; Mollusca; Cephalopoda; Octopoda; Octopodidae.
UCCGUGUUCCAUUUGCAGCGCGGGCAACUGUUAUGAACAUCUUUCGUAUUCCACUGAAUCUCAUUGUGAUAACUAUCUUACUAUUUAAUCUUUCUCAUGAUGUUAUCUUUAUUUCUUGUUCUGGUUUUCUAAUAAUAGGAUCGAUGUUCCAGCACUUCUUAUUUAAUUUGUGCCAAGAAAACUUGGAAUCAUUUCCCUCUUUAAAAGAUCCACAAGCAAUUUAAGUAACUCAAAAGACAGCGGUCAGUUUUAUGCAUCAAAGAAAUAUAUCUUCAAUUUUUUAAUAUGGAAGACAAUGCCUAUUAUCUCCAAAAAACAAAAAGGGAAAAACUGGGUAGCUAAGUGUUGACCAAUGUAUUAUUACAAAUCUUAAAUGAAUGUAAAUGGUAUUGUAUAUUUUAAAGGUGAAAUAUCUUCUUUUCAUAAUAAUUCAUUCUGCCUUCUAUUCCAUGAUGUGUUAUGCAGACAAACCACACCGAUUUAAUGUUUUUUAUACUUUGUUCUAUGUAUGAGACAAACUUCUUGUUUUAAAAUCAUCUAAAAUAAAACCUCCCACGAAAACUUUAUAUUAAUUCAUCACGAAAUGUUAGUGUCAAGUAGUGUUUAGGCAUUCUCUAUGGUAGCUGCAAUGAAUUUGCCUUUUAGCAGUUGAAAUAUGUCACAAACAUAUUAAUUUAUGUUUCAAACACCAGCUCAAUAAGGACAAAGUUAUUUUACUAAAUUUUCCACUAUUUUCAAAAUUAAGUGAACCAAAUGCAGUAUAUUUCAAUAGAAAUAUGGUAACAAAAUGGUUGAUAGCUAUGAAUUCAUCUAAUCCUUUUGUCCACACAUACAUCCCUAAAUCAUCUUGUUAUCUCGCACAGUUUCCAAAACACUGAUCUAAGUGUUUUGCAUUGUUUAUCAGAGAUUAAAUUCACCAGCGCAGUUAAUCUGACUAAUUCUCAGUGAUCAAAUUUCCACCUAUGCAAAUUUAAAUUCAAUUUGAUUAAUUUUCAACCGAGAGCUAGGUAUAAACUUGACAUCACUGGAUGUCAACUGACAAGCUGAAUGGUCAAUGUUUUGUACCCUAUUGCUAGCAAUGUGCCUUGUCUGUUUCUCUGACUAUUACUGUCUCAAGGCCUAGGACUCAUAGAGCCAGUUAACGCCAGUCCAUCACAGAGUUACUCAUUUGCAGUCGAGUGAUCCAGUCCACUCAGCUGUAAAUGAAGUAUUUUGCUCAAAAAGACAACACAUAACCUAAUCUAAGAAUUGAAACCACAAUCAUGCAGUUAUGACCACUGGGCCACACAUUUUCAAUGUCUGUAUCUAUGACCCUUUAAUUCUUACUGGCCCAGCCAUUUAGAUGUGGAAAAUAUUAAGCCAACAAAAGACAAAAUAUAUACUAUAUUUAUAAUGAUUAGGUCUUUUGCCUGUUGCUAUGCUAUCAGUAAAAUUAUAUGUUAAUCAUGCAUAUACCGUCUUUUAAUAGUAGACUGUUAUAUAGUGAAAGUCUUGUUACUGUGGUGACAACAGCCUACCUCUCUAUAUUUCACACACACACACACUCUCUCUCUCUCUCUCCCUUCUCUCUCUCUCUCCCUUCUCUCUCUCUCUCCCUCCCUUCUCUCUCUCCCCCUCCCCUCUCUCUCUACCUAUCUCUCUCUCCCUCCCUUCUCUCUCCCCCUCCCCUCUCUCUCUA